RNAcentral lists this ribosomal RNA (1535 nucleotides) under Pectobacterium sp. CW5. RNAcentral's name for it is "bacterial SSU rRNA". It matches the Rfam family "Bacterial small subunit ribosomal RNA". The record is from RNAcentral. Lineage: Bacteria; Pseudomonadati; Pseudomonadota; Gammaproteobacteria; Enterobacterales; Pectobacteriaceae.
AUCCUGGCUCAGAUUGAACGCUGGCGGCAGGCCUAACACAUGCAAGUCGAGCGGUAGCACAGAAGAGCUUGCUCUUUGGGUGACGAGCGGCGGACGGGUGAGUAAUGUCUGGGAAACUGCCUGAUGGAGGGGGAUAACUACUGGAAACGGUAGCUAAUACCGCAUAACCUCGCAAGAGCAAAGAGGGGGACCUUCGGGCCUCUCGCCAUCAGAUGUGCCCAGAUGGGAUUAGCUAGUAGGUGAGGUAAUGGCUCACCUAGGCGACGAUCCCUAGCUGGUCUGAGAGGAUGACCAGCCACACUGGAACUGAGACACGGUCCAGACUCCUACGGGAGGCAGCAGUGGGGAAUAUUGCACAAUGGGCGCAAGCCUGAUGCAGCCAUGCCGCGUGUGUGAAGAAGGCCUUCGGGUUGUAAAGCACUUUCAGCGAGGAGGAAGGCGGUAAGGUUAAUAACCUUAUCGAUUGACGUUACUCGCAGAAGAAGCACCGGCUAACUCCGUGCCAGCAGCCGAGGUAAUACGGAGGGUGCAAGCGUUAAUCGGAAUGACUGGGCGUAAAGCGCACGCAGGCGGUCUGUUAAGUUGGAUGUGAAAUCCCCGGGCUUAACCUGGGAACUGCAUUCAAAACUGACAGGCUAGAGUCUUGUAGAGGGGGGUAGAAUUCCAGGUGUAGCGGUGAAAUGCGUAGAGAUCUGGAGGAAUACCGGUGGCGAAGGCGGCCCCCUGGACAAAGACUGACGCUCAGGUGCGAAAGCGUGGGGAGCAAACAGGAUUAGAUACCCUGGUAGUCCACGCUGUAAACGAUGUCGAUUUGGAGGUUGUGCCCUUGAGGCGUGGCUUCCGGAGCUAACGCGUUAAAUCGACCGCCUGGGGAGUACGGCCGCAAGGUUAAAACUCAAAUGAAUUGACGGGGGCCCGCACAAGCGGUGGAGCAUGUGGUUUAAUUCGAUGCAACGCGAAGAACCUUACCUACUCUUGACAUCCAGAGAACUUUCCAGAGAUGGAUUGGUGCCUUCGGGAACUCUGAGACAGGUGCUGCAUGGCUGUCGUCAGCUCGUGUUGUGAAAUGUUGGGUUAAGUCCCGCAACGAGCGCAACCCUUAUCCUUUGUUGCCAGCGAUUCGGUCGGGAACUCAAAGGAGACUGCCGGUGAUAAACCGGAGGAAGGUGGGGAUGACGUCAAGUCAUCAUGGCCCUUACGAGUAGGGCUACACACGUGCUACAAUGGCGUAUACAAAGAGAAGCGACCUCGCGAGAGCAAGCGGACCUCAUAAAGUACGUCGUAGUCCGGAUUGGAGUCUGCAACUCGACUCCAUGAAGUCGGAAUCGCUAGUAAUCGUAGAUCAGAAUGCUACGGUGAAUACGUUCCCGGGCCUUGUACACACCGCCCGUCACACCAUGGGAGUGGGUUGCAAAAGAAGUAGGUAGCUUAACCUUCGGGAGGGCGCUUACCACUUUGUGAUUCAUGACUGGGGUGAAGUCGUAACAAGGUAACCGUAGGGGAACCUGCGGUUGGAUCACCUCCUUUCUGAAUCA